RNAcentral lists this ribosomal RNA (493 nucleotides) under uncultured bacterium. RNAcentral describes it as "partial 16S ribosomal RNA". It matches the Rfam family "Bacterial small subunit ribosomal RNA", at positions 30 to 523 of the family's 1533-position model. The record is from RNAcentral.
AUUGAACGCUGGCGGCAGGCCUAACACAUGCAAGUCGAGCGGCAGCGGGCCUUCGGGUGCCGGCGAGCGGCGGACGGGUGAGGAACGCGUGGGAAUCUGCCUAUAGGUGGGGGAUAGCCCGGAGAAAUCCGGAUUAAUACCGCAUAAUACCUGAGGGUUAAAACGGAGGAUCGCAAGACUUCGUGCCUAUAGAUGAGCCCACGUCAGAUUAGCUAGUUGGUAGGGUAAAGGCCUACCAAGGCGACGAUCUGUAGCUGGCCUGAGAGGGUGGCCAGCCACACUGGAACUGAGACACGGUCCAGACUCCUACGGGAGGCAGCAGUGGGGAAUAUUGGACAAUGGGCGCAAGCUUGAUCCAGCCAUGCCGCGUGCAGGAAGAAUGCCCUAUGGGUUGUAAACUGCUUUUAUUCGGGAAUAAACCCCUUUACGUGUAGAGGGCUGAAGGUACCGAAUGAAUAAGCACCGGCUAACUCCGUGCCAGCCGCCGCGGUAA